ACGGGGUGCAGCAGGCGCGAAAAACUUCACACUGGAAGCCAACUCCGAUGAAGGGGAAUUCCUAGUGCUAGCACAUUAGCGUUAGCUUUUCUUAAGCGUAGAUAACUUAAGGAAUAAGGGCUGGGUAAGACGGGUGCCAGCCGCCGCGGUAAUACCCGCAGCCCAAGUGGUGGUCGAUUUUAUUGAGUCUAAAACGUUCGUAGCCGGUUCAUUAAAUCCUUGGGUAAAUCGGAGAGCUUAACUUCCCGACUUCCGAGGAGACUGCCAAACUUGGGACCGGGAGAGGCGAGAGGUACUUCUGGGGUAGGGGUAAAAUCCUGUAAUCCUAGAAGGACCACCGGUGGCGAAGGCGUCUUGCUAGAACGGAUCCGACGGUGAGGGACGAAGCCCUGGGUCGCAAACGGGAUUAGAUACCCCGGUAGUCCAGGGUGUAAACGCUGCCGACUUGGUGUUGGAGGCCCUUCGGGGGCAUUCAGUGCCGGAGAGAAGUUGUUAAGUCGGCUACUUGGGGAGUACGUCCGCAAGGAUGAAACUUAAAGGAAUUGGCGGGGGAGCAC
This 557-nucleotide ribosomal RNA is filed under the name uncultured archaeon. Its description in RNAcentral is "bacterial SSU rRNA". It matches the Rfam family "Archaeal small subunit ribosomal RNA", at positions 325 to 879 of the family's 1478-position model. The record is from RNAcentral.